Molecule: transfer RNA, 64 nt
Filed under: Ooencyrtus plautus
Lineage: Eukaryota; Metazoa; Arthropoda; Insecta; Hymenoptera; Encyrtidae
Description: tRNA-Leu
Source: RNAcentral
UCUUUUAUGGCAGAUUAGUGCAAUAAAUUUAAGAUUUAUAUAUAUAAUUUAAUUAUUAAAAGAA